AUUGAACGCUGGCGGCAGGCUUAACACAUGCAAGUCGAGCGGGGGAAGGUAGCUUGCUACAUUACCUAGCGGCGGACGGGUGAGUAAUGCUUAGGAAUCUGCCUAUUAGUGGGGGACAACAUUCCGAAAGGAAUGCUAAUACCGCAUACGCCUACGGGGGAAAGCAGGGGAUCUUCGGACCUUGCGCUAAUAGAUGAGCCUAAGUCAGAUUAGCUAGUUGGUGGGGUAAAGGCCUACCAAGGCGACGAUCUGUAGCGGGUCUGAGAGGAUGAUCCGCCACACUGGGACUGAGACACGGCCCAGACUCCUACGGGAGGCAGCAGUGGGGAAUAUUGGACAAUGGGCGAAAGCCUGAUCCAGCCAUGCCGCGUGUGUGAAGAAGGCCUUUUGGUUGUAAAGCACUUUAAGCGAGGAGGAGGCUACUUGGAUUAAUACUCUAGGAUAGUGGACGUUACUCGCAGAAUAAGCACCGGCUAACUCUGUGCCAGCCGCCGCAGUAA
RNAcentral lists this ribosomal RNA (500 nucleotides) under uncultured bacterium. Its description in RNAcentral is "partial 16S ribosomal RNA". It matches the Rfam family "Bacterial small subunit ribosomal RNA", at positions 30 to 523 of the family's 1533-position model. The record is from RNAcentral.